AGAGUUUGAUCCUGGCUCAGAGUUAACGCUGGCGGCGUGCCUAACACAUGCAAGUCGAGCGAAGAGUACCAGAGUACCGGGCUCUUAGCGGCAGACGGGUGAGUAACACGUAAACAAUCUGCCCUCGAAUGGGAGACAACCAAGCGAAAGUUUGGCUAAUACCCCAUACAAUCUUCUCCAGGCAUCUGGAGGGGAUGAAAGGCCCGCAAGGGUCGUUCGAGGAGGAGUUUGCGGCCUAUCAGCUAGUUGGCGGUGUAACAGACACCAAGGCUAUGACGGGUAGCCGAUCUAAAAGGAUGACCGGCCACAAGGGCACUGAGACACGGGCCCUACUCCUACGGGAGGCAGCAGUGGGGAAUUUUGGACAAUGGACGAAAGUCUGAUCCAGCGACGCCGCGUGAAGGACGAAGGUUUUCGGAUCGUAAACUUCUUUUGCAGGGGACGAAUACGCGCAAGCGUUUGACGGUACUCUGCGAAUAAGCCACGGCUAACUACGUGCCAGCAGCCGCGGUUA
RNAcentral lists this ribosomal RNA (514 nucleotides) under uncultured bacterium. RNAcentral describes it as "bacterial SSU rRNA". It matches the Rfam family "Bacterial small subunit ribosomal RNA", at positions 8 to 523 of the family's 1533-position model. The record is from RNAcentral.